Oncorhynchus tshawytscha (Chinook salmon) is the source of this 454-nucleotide long non-coding RNA. The record is from Ensembl. Lineage: Eukaryota; Metazoa; Chordata; Actinopteri; Salmoniformes; Salmonidae.
UGAACGGAGCUGUUUCGGUUGUUCUUUUGUUGCUUGUUUGAUAGUGUUCAGUUUUACCAUUAAAAUGAUGAACACUUACCACCUUGGUCCUCACCUUCUUCCACCAACGGCCGUUACAGGAGUAUUCAGUUGAUACUGGACAUUUACAAGUAAUAUACUUGGAAGCGGUGAGUUGGGUUCGCGCCUCUGAAGUCUGACCAGAAGACCGCUCCGUCUACCUCUUCUCCUGCAGCAUGGUUUUGGGUCAUUCUCUCGAAUCAGGUCAAAUGUCCUGGGUGGUUUGGACAGGAUCCACUUCGGGAAAGUCAUUAUCCAUGUGAUUUGGACAGCCGAUCAUUAACACUGUCCCGCCCACCAGUUGUCUCACUGUACAGAGAGUUAUAGUCUGGCUUCAACACACCUCAAGGCAUCAGCAAUGUAAAUCCAGCUAACUCAAAUGGCUGUUGGUCCACAC